RNAcentral lists this ribosomal RNA (592 nucleotides) under Wolbachia endosymbiont of Drosophila malagassya. Its description in RNAcentral is "partial 23S ribosomal RNA". It matches the Rfam family "Bacterial large subunit ribosomal RNA", at positions 1 to 653 of the family's 2925-position model. The record is from RNAcentral. Lineage: Bacteria; Pseudomonadati; Pseudomonadota; Alphaproteobacteria; Rickettsiales; Anaplasmataceae.
AGUGAGUGCGAGAAGGGCGUUCGGUGGAUGCCUUGGCACUAGAAGGCGAUGAAGGACGUGGCACGCUGCGAAAAGCCACGGGGAGCCGCGAGUAGGCUUUGAUCCGUGGAUAUCCGAAUGGGGCAACCCCCUCGCAAGAGGAUCCCUCACUGAAUACAUAGGUGUGGGAGGCAAACCCGGGGAACUGAAACAUCUCAGUACCUGGAGGAAAAGACAUCAAUUGAGAUUCCGCUAGUAGUGGCGAGCGAACGCGGAACAGGCCAGUGGCCAUGAGAAGACAAGCAGAAUGCUCUGGAAAGUGCAGCCAUAGUGGGUGAUAGCCCCUUAUGCGUAAUGCUUCUUAUGGUCCUUGAGUAGGGCGGGGCACGUGAAACCCUGUCUGAACAUGGGGGGACCACCCUCCAAGCCUAAAUACUCUCUAGUGACCGAUAGUGAACAAGUACCGUGAGGGAAAGGUGAAAAGCACCCCGACGAGGGGAGUGAAAGAGACCUGAAACCGGACGCCUACAAGCAGUCGGAGCCUCUUAUGGGGUGACGGCGUACCUUUUGUAUAAUGGGUCAGCGAGUUUCUGUUUGCAGCAAGCUUAAGCCG